AGAGUUUGAUCCUGGCUCAGAGCGAACGCUGGCGGCAGGCCUAACACAUGCAAGUCGAGCGGGCACCUUCGGGUGUCAGCGGCAGACGGGAGAGUAACACGUGGGAACGUGCCCUUUGGUUCGGAACAACCCAGGGAAACUUGGGCUAAUACCGGAUAAGCCCUUACGGGGAAAGAUUUAUCGCCAAAGGAUCGGCCCGCGUCUGAUUAGCUAGUUGGUGGGGUAAUGGCUCACCAAGGCGACGAUCAGUAGCUGGUCUGAGAGGAUGAUCAGCCUCACUGGGACUGAGACACGGCCCAGACUCCUACGGGAGGCAGCAGUGGGGAAUAUUGGACAAUGGGCGCAAGCCUGAUCCAGCCAUGCCGCGUGGGUGAUGAAGGCCCUAGGGUUGUAAAGCCCUUUCGGCGGGGAAGAUAAUGACGGUACCCGCAGAAGAAGCCCCGGCUAACUUCGUGCCAGCAGCCGCGGUA
RNAcentral lists this ribosomal RNA (470 nucleotides) under uncultured Pseudomonadota bacterium. RNAcentral describes it as "bacterial SSU rRNA". It matches the Rfam family "Bacterial small subunit ribosomal RNA", at positions 8 to 522 of the family's 1533-position model. The record is from RNAcentral. Lineage: Bacteria; Pseudomonadati; Pseudomonadota.